UUCCUCUCAUCCUCCCUAUCAAUCCUAUCUAUACUCUAUUUCUCACUUCCAUAGCACAAAAAAUGAAAACUAAAAAUUGAAAUUAAAAUGGUUAUCAAACUAGCCCCAAAAGGUUGCCAAACAAGCCCUUCAAUUAUAAAUUUUAAAAUAUUUUAAUAAGGCAAAAGGAAAGAGAAAGGGGGAAAAAAAAAAAAAACUAUUUUCAUUAGUUUAUAAUUUUAUAUAGUAAGUUAUUUUUAUUUUUAUUUUUCAUUUGUUAAUAGUUCGAGAAAUGGUUUUUGCAUAUGAAUCCUUGAGUGUGCUAGUGGCUGCCAUUUGGGUCUUGCGCUCAUAAUGAUCCAGAAGAUACAACUUUGUGGCCAUGGCCAUGGUUGUGAAGCUUCCCCUAAACUCAAUCUGGGAAGUGGGUAUAUUUUACAGCCCAUGGCAAGCCCAAAGGAAGAGAUGAGGGCGACGUUUAGAAUUAAAGUGAAAAAGAUAAAGAGAAAAUAAUGAUGGUCAUGUGAUUUUGCUGGACAACUUGGAGUAUGAAAACUAGUUUGAACAGAAAUCAAAGAUAAGGCAGAAGGGAAGAGCGCCUUCAUCAGUAUCCAUCAUGACAGCUGAAGAAAGGGUCCAUAUCCAAAGCCCUCCUCUUCGUAUUUUCAUCAUGAUGAGGCCUUUAAAAU
Molecule: long non-coding RNA, 668 nt
Filed under: Prunus dulcis (almond)
Lineage: Eukaryota; Viridiplantae; Streptophyta; Magnoliopsida; Rosales; Rosaceae
Description: sRNA ncRNA
Source: RNAcentral